GGCCCCGUAGCUCAGCAUGGAUAGAGCGGCGGCCUUCUAAGCCGUAGGUCGUGGGUUCAAAUCCCACCGGGGCCG
RNAcentral lists this transfer RNA (75 nucleotides) under Vulcanisaeta distributa DSM 14429. RNAcentral describes it as "tRNA-Arg (TCT) (tRNA-Arg-TCT-1-1)". It matches the Rfam family "tRNA". From Rfam's summary of the family: Transfer RNA (tRNA) molecules are approximately 80 nucleotides in length. Their secondary structure includes four short double-helical elements and three loops (D, anti-codon, and T loops). The record is from Rfam by way of RNAcentral. RNAcentral also lists the same sequence under 1 other name. Lineage: Archaea; Thermoproteati; Thermoproteota; Thermoprotei; Thermoproteales; Thermoproteaceae.